Small nucleolar RNA from Gorilla gorilla gorilla (western lowland gorilla), 204 nucleotides. Its record names the gene U3. It matches the Rfam family "Small nucleolar RNA U3". From Rfam's summary of the family: Small nucleolar RNAs (snoRNAs) are involved in the processing and modification of rRNA in the nucleolus. There are two main classes of snoRNAs: the box C/D class, and the box H/ACA class. The record is from Ensembl. Lineage: Eukaryota; Metazoa; Chordata; Mammalia; Primates; Hominidae.
AAGACUAUUCUUUCAGGGAUCAUUAUGGGAGAAGUUUUUCUGAAUGCCUAAAGAACCAGAAAACCAUGAGGACAGACAGCAGCAUUCUCUCCUGAGCUUGAAGCUGGCUCUUGGCAUUGGUUUGCUGCAACUGCCGUUUGCCAUUGCUGAUCAUUUUUCUCUUCCUUUGGGAGAGUGAGGGGAAGAGAAUGCAAUCUGAGUGAU